RNAcentral lists this ribosomal RNA (323 nucleotides) under uncultured eukaryote. RNAcentral describes it as "partial 18S ribosomal RNA". It matches the Rfam family "Eukaryotic small subunit ribosomal RNA", at positions 1470 to 1796 of the family's 1831-position model. The record is from RNAcentral.
CCCUUAGAUGUUCUGGGCUGCACGCGCGCUACACUGAUACACUCAACGAGUUCCUGUCUUGAAAGAGUCGGGUAAUCAUUUGAGCGUGUAUCGUGAUGGGGAUAGAAUAUUGUAAUUAUUACUCUUCAACGAGGAAUUCCUAGUAGUCACUGUUCAUCAGACAGUGACGACUAUGUCCCUGCCCUUUGUACACACCGCCCGUCGCUCCUACCGAUUGAGUGGUCCGGUGAGGCUUUGGGAUCUGAGCGGAAAGAGCGUUUCGCUGUUUCUGCUCGGAAAACUCAGUCGAACCUUAUCAUUUAGAGGAAGGAGAAGUCGUAACA